RNAcentral lists this ribosomal RNA (497 nucleotides) under uncultured bacterium. RNAcentral describes it as "partial 16S ribosomal RNA". It matches the Rfam family "Bacterial small subunit ribosomal RNA", at positions 28 to 507 of the family's 1533-position model. The record is from RNAcentral.
GGUGAACGCUGGCGGCGUGCCAAAUACAUGCAAGUCGAGCGAACAGACGAGGAGCUUGCUCCUCUGACGUUAGCGGCGGACGGGUGAGUAACACGUGGAUAACCUACCUAUAAGACUGGGAUAACUUCGGGAAACCGGAGCUAAUACCGGAUAAUAUAUUGAACCGCAUGGUUCAAUAGUGAAAGACGGUUUUGCUGUCACUUAUAGAUGGAUCCGCGCCGCAUUAGCUAGUUGGUAAGGUAACGGCUUACCAAGGCAACGAUGCGUAGCCGACCUGAGAGGGUGAUCGGCCACACUGGAACUGAGACACGGUCCAGACUCCUACGGGAGGCAGCAGUAGGGAAUCUUCCGCAAUGGGCGAAAGCCUGACGGAGCAACGCCGCGUGAGUGAUGAAGGUCUUCGGAUCGUAAAACUCUGUUAUUAGGGAAGAACAAAUGUGUAAGUAACUAUGCACGUCUUGACGGUACCUAAUCAGAAAGCCACGGCUAACUACGUG